CCUGAGCUCUUGUGGUUGGAGUCAGCUCACUGAUUCUUCAACAAAUCCACAGUCUGUGCUUCAAUGGGCAUGUAUCACCACCUUGGACUUCAACUAAGAGAUGCUGUUGUUGGCAACAAAAUGUCUUGUCUCUCCAGGAUUGCGACAUCAUGACUGCUCCAAGACGACUCCACUGUGUGCUCUCUGCCAUCUGCUCAGCAUGUUCACUGCUGCAGAUGCUUCUAGAAGGCCAGUUUUCUUCUAUAGCUCCAACUAACCACAGCGUUCUUCAUCACAAUGCUCACCGGCCUUACCUGUGUAUGCAAUGGUCACAUUUACAGAGGAAGCACACAAGCUUCCGGAGUCACCUAAUCCCUCCAGACACCGUGCGUGCGCACAUUAUUGUUCUGGACCUCAGUCCCUUCCACUCUGCAGUGAGCAUGACCUUGCUGAUGUCCAAAGGGACAGUGUGAAUCUCAGCUGGAACCAUGAUACACCAUAUAUUAAACUAGCCAGAAGACAGUUUGUGACUAAAGAGAAACCGUAACAGUAACAGCAAUUAUCAACUGCAUACUCUGUGCCAGAUUCUGGGCCCAGUGCUUCAUUUACAAAGGAGGCAUCAAAUAGCCCAAAUCGGCCUCGUACUCUCUGUGUAGGAUGGCCCUGUGACACAAGUGGAGCAAGGCAUCUGAGGACACGUGACUCUGUUCUCGGGCCAUGGUCAGUCAUCUUUGGCUCCUGAAUAAACUAUCUUUUAUUC
This is a long non-coding RNA of Mus musculus (house mouse), 739 nucleotides long. RefSeq annotates it as predicted gene, 32811. The transcript has 5 exons. NCBI's taxonomy places the organism in Eukaryota, Metazoa, Chordata, Mammalia, Rodentia, Muridae. The record is from RefSeq and is a predicted model, not a curated record.